GCGAUGAGCUAAAUUGUGUAAGUCGACUGACAACCCUUCAGGGAAUGCACAAUGUGGAGUGCAGUCAUGUCGCCACAAUUCGAACAAAAAAGAUGCCUA
Molecule: small RNA, 99 nt
Filed under: Bacillus massilinigeriensis
Lineage: Bacteria; Bacillati; Bacillota; Bacilli; Caryophanales; Bacillaceae
Description: BsrF
Rfam family: BsrF
Source: RNAcentral